CAGUCGGUUCAUUCAAACUAUGCACGCGAACACAUACGCAGCAUCUGAAACAUUCAAGAAGAAUAAAGAUAUGACAAUCCAAAUAUAAUAAAGUAAGGAGCAAACCGAAACACAACAAGAACCGCCUAAUGUAAUUCUUUGCGUUUAUGUUACUGCUAUGUGAUAUAAAACUAUAACUCCCAAAAUAGAAUUUCAAAGCACCCCACCACUGAAACUUUAUAUGCGAAAAAUUAUAGUACUUUACAAAUCAUGUCGAGGAAUACACAAAUCAGUCCACACAGAAAUAAUUCCUACAUACCAAACCUUCAAUUGACCAAAAUCUUGAAUUAAUCAUGGCGGACUAGAUGGACAUGGUUCGAUCUAAACUAAUAAUGGGAUUUAUACUAACAAAAAAUGAGACAAGCAUCGUUUUUAUUUUUAGAUUUUUUAAUUUUUUUUAGAAUUCAAUGUAGCAAAUUAAGUAGUCAAUUAGGAAAGAUUAAAAACUCAAAAUCACUCCAAAUGAAUCCAAAUAGAUGCAAGAUGAGAAAUCUACUGAAUUUAACACUAUCAAAUCUCAGAGAACUAAUUCAACUAGCUAAAAAUUUGUAUCCCUUAAACCAAUAAAACUUAAAUUAUCUUAACCAGUUUUAAUGGCUGUUAUGAUGUUUCAGUCACAUAAAAUCAAACAAAAUGAGAGAAGGAGAUGGAAUAGACCUGAAAUAAAUCUGAAAUUUUGAUUUCCCUACAAUUUGUAAGUAAUAAACAACAAGACGCAAAGAAGAGCUUCACCGAAAGCUGAAGAACAUGGCCUAGACCGGGAAAUCGAACGGAGACCUUGAACAGGUGCCUCAACCGGAAAUCGAUGGACUGUCGCGUUUGAGCUCCUAAACUCUGUUAUGCUAACGAGGAGGAAAAAUCUGGUCCGAAAUCAGCAACUAUUGAGGAUGUUGUGGUGGCUAAUUGACAGCUAUUAGUAUCUCUUCUCGCUCGAGUGCGCAUGUGUACUUCAUUUUAAUUGUCAAGGUGAGAUAGAUGCUUUUAAGUAUUCAAAUUCCCAAAGUCCACUGUUUCACAACGAAUGAAAUCCUAUUCUUGUUAUCAUUAUCCAAAUGUAA
RNAcentral lists this long non-coding RNA (1097 nucleotides) under Nicotiana tabacum (common tobacco). RNAcentral's name for it is "long non-coding RNA (NTAB_LNC005913)". Lineage: Eukaryota; Viridiplantae; Streptophyta; Magnoliopsida; Solanales; Solanaceae. The record is from RNAcentral.